CUUUCUCUAAAUUUUCUCGGACUUUUCUCUAAGCUCCCACACUCAUCUCUUCUAUUUUUCAAUCAAAGACCAACUUUGAGCUCACAGUGGAGAACUCUACGUAUCCAUUUGAUUGGAAUAGAGAGCUCGGGGAGCAUUAGAGCUGGGCGCUUGGGACUACCACUAGGCGUUGUUGGGGAUUUUUUAUGACAGUGGUCAUUGGAGCUGGUGGCACUGGGCGCUACGUUUUUAUCGUCAGGUGUUACCUUAUGCUGAUAAAUUUAUGCUAAUUAUGUUGAGAUUGUUUGAAUUUAUCUUGAUUAUAUGAUUUUCUAAGUAGG
This 320-nucleotide small RNA is filed under the name Vigna angularis var. angularis. Its description in RNAcentral is "Non-protein coding transcript". Lineage: Eukaryota; Viridiplantae; Streptophyta; Magnoliopsida; Fabales; Fabaceae. The record is from RNAcentral.